Molecule: ribosomal RNA, 253 nt
Filed under: uncultured prokaryote
Description: partial 16S ribosomal RNA
Rfam family: Bacterial small subunit ribosomal RNA
Source: RNAcentral
UACGGAGGGUGCAAGCGUUAUCCGGAUUCACUGGGUUUAAAGGGUGCGUAGGUGGGUUGGUAAGUCAGUGGUGAAAUCUCCGAGCUUAACCCGGAAACUGCCGUUGAUACUAUCUGUCUUGAAUGUCGUGGAGGUGAGCGGAAUAUGUCAUGUAGCGGUGAAAUGCUUAGAUAUGACAUAGAACACCCAUUGCGAAGGCAGCUCACUACACGAUGAUUGACGCUGAGGCACGAAAGCGUGGGGAGCAAACAGG